ACGCGUCUCUUGGCUGUGCUGUAAUCGCUCUUCACCAUCACUGUGUUGGUCUGGUGUUAUAAAUCAGAAGAGGAGAGUUAUACUGACCCUGUCCACAAAGCCAUCUGAUUGCUGUUAAUG
Molecule: long non-coding RNA, 120 nt
Organism: Lepidothrix coronata (blue-crowned manakin)
Lineage: Eukaryota; Metazoa; Chordata; Aves; Passeriformes; Pipridae
Exons: 3
Source: RefSeq, a predicted model, not a curated record